GACGAACGCUGGCGGCGUGCUUAACACAUGCAAGUCGAACGGAAAGGCGCUGCUUUUGUGGCGUGCUCGAUUGGCGAACGGGGGAGUAACACGUGUGUAACCUGCCCUUGACUUUGGGAGAGCUUCAGGAAACAGGGGCGAAUACCGGGUAGGAGCUCCUGCUGCAUGGGGGGGGUUGGAAAGAGUCGGCGGUUGGGGAUGGACUCGCGGCUUAUCAGCUGGUUGGGGAGGUAGUGGCUUACCAGGGCUUUGACGGGUAGCCGGCCUGAGAGGGUGACCGGCCACAUUGGGACUGCGAUACGGCCCAGACUCCAACGGGAGGCAGCAGUGGGGAAUAUUGCACAAUGGGCGGAAGCCUGAUGCAGCAACGCCGCGUGCGGGAUGCCGGCCUUCGGGUUGUAAACCGCUUUCGCAUGUGCCGAAGCCUGCGUGACGGUAAUGGGUCAAGAAGCACCGGCUAACUACGUG
RNAcentral lists this ribosomal RNA (468 nucleotides) under uncultured bacterium. RNAcentral describes it as "partial 16S ribosomal RNA". It matches the Rfam family "Bacterial small subunit ribosomal RNA", at positions 28 to 507 of the family's 1533-position model. The record is from RNAcentral.